Molecule: non-coding RNA, 115 nt
Organism: Triticum aestivum (bread wheat)
Lineage: Eukaryota; Viridiplantae; Streptophyta; Magnoliopsida; Poales; Poaceae
Source: Rfam
CUACUACUCCCUCCGUCCGAAAAUACUUGUCAUUGAAAUGGAUGUAUCUAGAUGUAUUUUAGUUCUAGACACAUCCAUUUUGAUUACAAGUAAUUCCGGAUGGAUGGAGUAUUAU